AGUAAAACAGUACGUGAAAUUGUUGAAAGGGAAACGCUUGAAGUCAGUCGUGCCGGCGUUGGAUUCAGCUUGCUUCGCGGAGCAGGCGUAUUUCCGCGCAUGGCAGGUCAGCGUCAGUUUUGCGCGGCGUGAAAAGGCUCGGGUAAGGUAGCUCUCUUCGGGGAGUGUUAUAGACCUGGGCAGAUGCGCUGCGCGGGACUGAGGAUUGCAGCGGACACCCCCUCGGGGGCGCGGCGACCGAACCCUGCUCGGCCACCCUCGUUCGAUAGCGUGCUAGCGGACGCGGGAGCGGCAGUGCACCGGAACAGGCAAGCCAGCUGUUCGCUAAGGAUGCUGACGUAAUGGCUUUAAA
This 352-nucleotide unclassified non-coding RNA is filed under the name uncultured Archaeospora. Its description in RNAcentral is "sequence contains 28S rRNA gene". Lineage: Eukaryota; Fungi; Glomeromycota; Glomeromycetes; Archaeosporales; Archaeosporaceae. The record is from RNAcentral.